CCUACGGGAGGCAGCAGUGGGGAAUAUUGCACAAUGGGGGAAAGCCUGAUGCAGCGACGCCGCGUGAGGGAAGAAGUAUUUCGGUAUGUAAAGCUCUAUCAGCAGGGAAGAAAAUGACGAUACCUGAUUAAGAAGCACCGGCUAACUACGUGCCAGCAGCCGCGGUAAUACGUAGGGGGCAAGCGGUAUCAGGAUUUACUGGGUGUAAAGGGAGAGUAGAAGGCAGCGCAAGGCUGAAGGGAAAUGCGGGGGCUUAACCCCGGAACUGCUUUGGAAACUGUCUAGCUAGAGUGCAGGAGAGGUAAGUGGAAUUCCUAGUGUAGCGGUGAAAUGCGUAGAUAUUAGGAGGAACACCAGUGGCGAAGGCGGCUUACUGGACUGUAACUGACGUUGAGGCUCGAAAGCGUGGGGAGCAAACAGGAUUAGAUACCCUUGUAGUC
Molecule: ribosomal RNA, 440 nt
Filed under: uncultured bacterium
Lineage: Bacteria
Description: partial 16S ribosomal RNA
Rfam family: Bacterial small subunit ribosomal RNA
Source: RNAcentral